AUACAAUGAAUGUAAUUGAUCAUAUUAUGUAGAAAAUAUUAACUAUAAAAUUGUUAGUAUUGAUGCCGAUAGUUAAUUUAUUUCAUCACUUCAGCGUCACAGUUGAUGCUCCCAACCUACACGCAUCAAUCUUGCUUUGUGUCCCAGCCUAACCAACAAGAAAUCACUCACUUAAUUACAUUUCAUUGCACACCGCCUUAUAUGGUAACAAUCAUCUUAUACACAGAAUACUACGCCAGUUUAAGAAAUUAGUUUAGUUUUUAGGCUCCCAUCUAAACCUUUUAUUUGUAUCUUACAUCUUACACCUUAUUAUUAUAUAUAUAACCUGUAAUUAUAUUUGUCAAAUACAUUAUGGCAAAAAAUAGCAAAAAUAAUUAUAUUCUUAGGGUCUUGGUCACUCAUCAUAACUAUUUACUUCUUCAUAAGAUCCUACAAACUCACUCUGUUCCUGACAACACAUUAAAACCUACCAAUAGUUGCAGGAUACUACUAUACUAUAUGGUUGUGAAAUAUGAACUACCAAUGAACAAGACAGAAGGAAGUUGGAAGCCAUAGAAAUGUGGAUGUGGAGAAAAUUGCUGAAAGUCAGUUGGACAGAAAUGAAAAAUAACAUAGAUGUAUUAAACCAAGUAGGGACAAAAAAAAUUAUGUAUAACAUCAUAAAGGAAAGAAGUAGAAGAAUUUUCGGUAACCUGCUGAGGCAUACUUCGUUUAUGACAAAUAUAUUUGAAAGUCAAAUAAAUGGACCCAAAGGGAGAGGCAGACAGGAAGGUAUGUAUUGGAGAAAUGAUAAGACAAACUGACUGCAACAGAUAUGUGGACAUGAAAAGACUGGCUAUUAACACAGAGGAAUAGAGAACCAGAUUUGCAACGACAAGGUGAGCAUCAUCUAAAAAGUUUAAAAAAAAAAUGCAAAAUACAUCAACUACGGAAGCCUUAUUCAUCAAUUUUCAAUAUAUUGCAUGAUAAUAAUAAGAAUAAUAAGAAUUUUAUGCGGACAUGCGGGGACAUGAAUACAUGAUCGGUCGGCCAGGAAGAAUAUGCAAAAUGGCUAAAACACUGAGAUUCAACACUACCUCUCCCUAACAUAAGGUUCCAUAAUCAUUUAAAUACUGAACACUAUAGGACCGUAUUAGCACAUGGGUAAUAAAACACUGUGCCUAGAGCCUACGAUAGUGUUAAUCCGGGCCUGGCCGUAUCUGCCGAGCGUAUUCCGCCGCGGAUAUGUGUUCAAUAUCUAAAAAAAAAGGUAAACCGCAUAAUUAUUAACUAUUGUAUUAAUAAUAUAAAUAUUGCAUUAUCGCAUUCGAAUAGUACAAAUUAAUAAUAGACGCUCAUCGAUCGAUCAUUUGCAGUAGUCAGUUCGUAAGACUAUAGGUCUAUCGUUUACAUUAUGCCCGUAUGCCGAUAAUUACACCAGCGUGCAGCGCUAAUAAUUAAUAAAAUCACAAGUUUAUACUUUUGGGGGACGAGUAUUUUUGUGUUUACUUUAUUGAUAACUUUUAAGUAUGUAGUAAAAACUACAUGACAUGAUACGUCAUACACAAGUUCAUCAAAUACAUUAAAAACAAUGUCCCAGAUGUUUAUAAAAAAAAUAAAACGAUUUACCAGAUGUUGAUAAAAAAAUAAAACGAUUUUUUAAAUUAAAAUUUAUAAAUGUUGUUAUUAGCUAUCAGCCGUUGGUAGGAGUAAAGGAAUUAUGACAUGGUGGCUAAAUUAGUCCCCUUCUACUUACGCGUAUGCCUACUUAUAUAGUUAUAUGGAGUAGAGCGACUUCAAAGGUUUUUUUAUUCAAACAGAAAUACUAAUUGAACAAUUUUAGUUCGUACUCAACAAAUUAUUUAUUGACCAUUACUGUGGUCAGUGAUCUAUUCAAUGACGAUUGACGAGUGCACUCAAAAUCUACUAUGCAGCAGAGCUAGUUCUUAAUUUUUUUUGUUUCUUGUAAUCACUAAUGGCAGUGCCGUAGCAGUUAAUUGUUUUUCUUUAGUUUUUGUAGAACAAGAAUACGUAUUAUUUGUUACUCAAUGACACAGUUGUUCAUAAAUGUUGCUGCCUUGAAACAGUACUACUACUGUUUUGAAAAUGUCACCCUAGGCGUCAGCAUAAAUGUCACAUACCCCUUGAACCGAGCCUGUAAACUGAGUAAUUGAAUGGGUUUGGGAAUUGGGUACAGUAAGCGACUUCGUAGGAUAUACCUAAUAUUGUAUUGAUGCGAAACGAUAUGGGUUUGGAGUGUUUGGACGCCAAUGCAAGUACCUAUCAUGUUUUUAAAUUAAUUUUAUUCCAUUAGUCGACAUUCGACUGUAAUCAAUAGUACGCUGUAUGAAAUAAUUAAUGCACUUCCUGAGAAUAUUAUUAUUGACUUUCGUAGCUCAAAAUCCCGAGGGACCUUCCCCUAAUUACUUCGUUAUUUCUAUCAUAAAUAAUAUUAUAGUCUUACUGCUUCAAACCUGAUAAUGGCCAAGUCUAUAAUUACUACCUUUUCCACAGUAUACUCAUUUUUUAAUUUUUUACUAAAUUGUGUGAAAAGGAAAUAUUAUUUAUUAUCUAUGUAAC
Molecule: long non-coding RNA, 2559 nt
Organism: Myzus persicae (green peach aphid)
Lineage: Eukaryota; Metazoa; Arthropoda; Insecta; Hemiptera; Aphididae
Exons: 3
Source: RefSeq, a predicted model, not a curated record